This is a long non-coding RNA of Panicum virgatum (switchgrass), 1749 nucleotides long. RefSeq lists it as uncharacterized. NCBI's taxonomy places the organism in Eukaryota, Viridiplantae, Streptophyta, Magnoliopsida, Poales, Poaceae. The transcript is spliced from 4 exons. The record is from RefSeq and is a predicted model, not a curated record.
UCGAAAACGCGCACUCUCUCUCUCUCUCUUCUCUCUCCCACCAGUUCACAUUAUCUUCUCCAUUUUCUCCUCUCAGAUCCAGAGUUCCAGACUGAGAGCUCGGGUGGGCGGCGGCGGCGGCGAUUGUGGCUCCGGCGAGGCGGCAGAGCGGAAGCUGAGGCUCCAGCUAGCUCCCGUGCGCGGCGUCGUGCCGGGCGCAGUGGAGUGGAUCCACGUUGGCUGCAGCUCAGGUGAGCUCGUGCAGGGGCGGCGCGCCGGCCGCUGUCGGCCACUAUCCAAAUCCACCCACGCCGUCGCAUCCCAAGUGCCAAAAUCACCGGCACCUGUGAAGACAGAUCGACGGUCCCUGAUCCAGAUCUUGAGCUAACGCCAACAAGGUAUUUUAAUCCAACUAAUUUGUUUUCGAUUUCAAUUCCAUCUCUAGACUGUUUUCGAUUUCUUUGCCAUGGAGUUCGUGAUGCAGAACAGUAGCUGCAGAUAUGUUGCGGAUGAACAUGUGCCAUGGAUACUAGGCAUGUCAUCACUCUGUGUUCUGAAACAGAAGAUGAAGCGGCGCGUCGUCGUCGUGAAAAAAUUGCAAUAUUAGAAUUGCAAACACUGACCACUCAGGAAAUUGCAACUCCCAAUGAAUGACAUGAUGGGACCAUCUGGGCAUAUGAAAUAGGGGGCUAAUGACAAAACUGCAGAGGUCAAUGUUUGCGGUUCCAUUUUUACAAAUUUCUCGGUCGUCGUUCAGGUGCGCGAUAGGAGUUGCAGAAGAAGGAUCGCAAUUCUGAAUGGGGAGCAACGAGCUCUAUUCAAGUUGAUUGAUGUCUUUUCUUUUUCCUGUGUAACUAGAGCCAACAGAUGUAUGAGUUGCGCAUAUGAAUCUUGUUGUGUACUCUCAUGCCAAUUAAGUAGAUUUUCUUCUUGAAAUUUGAUCAUCGUUUCUAAAUGUGAAUAGUAGAAACAACAUCUGUGUGAAAGAAAUAAUAAAUAGCAACAAUCAUUAUAUAUAUUUUCUUUCCCUACGGCACUAGAUUAUAAUGGUAGGGGAAGUAUCUUCACAGCUAGGAUAGUAACAGCCAUGUCACCACUUCCCCUAGAAACUCAAUUCCUAGGGAAAGAUCGAUUCCCUACGGUAUUCUAGAGAAACGUAGGGUUCCCGAUUUCGUUCCCUAGAAAAUGUUUCCUACCAAAAUCUCAGGGAAUAGUUUCCCUACGGUAUUCAAGGCUUUCCCUAGGAUUUUUCAACCAAGGGAAAUCGAGGAUUCCAGUAGUGAAGCAAAGCAGCGAAGUUUCCAGUUCUUUCAGCUAUGGCUCGGGACUUCCUUGCAAUUCCUCUUAGCACUUAGUCAUCCGAAUCUGCUUUCAGUUUAGGGGGAAGGAUUCUUGGAGACCAUAGAAACUCACUAUCUCCGGAAAUGCUUGAGGCCCUUGUAUGCGGGAAAGUUUGGUUAUAUAAGACCAAAUAUCCUGAACUCUGUUCUGAUGGUGAAGGUCCUGAGCAAGAGUAAAAGUGUCGCCUCACUGAAGACGUGAAAAUGUGAGCAGCCAACAAGUUUGAGGGUGUCCAAUGCAGGUCCUAAGCAAGAGUAAAAGCAUUAUGUGAUCUUCUGAUGUGGAACGGAAGCACAACGUGGCAUUGUGCUGAAUCUGCAAUCUUGGAAAGACCACAAAUUUCAUAUUAUAGGGUGUGUUCUAUUGUAUGCCCUAUUAUCGAUGUGUGUGUUGUCUUCCUGAUUUUUUUUACUAUUUUUUGGACACCCA